GAGAGUUAAACAGUACGUGAAAUUGUUGAAAGGGAAACGAUUGAAGUCAGUCAUACCAACGGGAAAUCAACCUUUUGAGUUUGGUCUCGUGGGUUUUGAAGAGUUUAAAAGCCUUCGGAUUUUCGAGAUUGGGUUCUUCUGGUGUACUUUCUCGUACGGUUAGUCAACAUCGGUUUUGAAUGUCAUAAAAUGACUGGAGGAAUGUGGCUUCGAUCUCGUAUUGAAGUGUUAUAGCCUUUGGUAGAUGUGAUGUUUGAGACCGAGGAUUGCAACGGAUACCCUUCAGGGCUAUUCGUCUGAUCUCUGAUACGUUGCCCUGAUGUUGAAAGCUUGCUUAUGAUGUUAGGGUAUUACGGUCAAAAGGUUAGAACGAAUUACAUUCGUUAAGGAUGUUGACGUAAUGACUUUAAACGA
RNAcentral lists this ribosomal RNA (414 nucleotides) under uncultured Funneliformis. Its description in RNAcentral is "partial 28S ribosomal RNA". Lineage: Eukaryota; Fungi; Glomeromycota; Glomeromycetes; Glomerales; Glomeraceae. The record is from RNAcentral.